GGGCGGUUAGCUCAGCUGGGAGAGCACAUCCCUUACAAGGAUGGGGUCACUGGUUCGAGCCCAGUACCGCCCACCA
This 76-nucleotide transfer RNA is filed under the name Acidobacteriota bacterium. RNAcentral describes it as "tRNA-Val". It matches the Rfam family "tRNA". From Rfam's summary of the family: Transfer RNA (tRNA) molecules are approximately 80 nucleotides in length. Their secondary structure includes four short double-helical elements and three loops (D, anti-codon, and T loops). Further hydrogen bonds mediate the characteristic L-shaped molecular structure. tRNAs have two regions of fundamental functional importance: the anti-codon, which is responsible for specific mRNA codon recognition, and the 3' end, to which the tRNAs corresponding amino acid is attached (by aminoacyl-tRNA synthetases). tRNAs cope with the degeneracy of the genetic code in two manners: having more than one tRNA (with a specific anti-codon) for a particular amino acid; and 'wobble' base-pairing, i.e. permitting non-standard base-pairing at the 3rd anti-codon position. RNAcentral also lists the same sequence under 3 other names. The record is from RNAcentral. Lineage: Bacteria; Pseudomonadati; Acidobacteriota.